RNAcentral lists this transfer RNA (68 nucleotides) under Marmota monax (woodchuck). RNAcentral describes it as "tRNA.Ala". The stretch from base 5 to 65 matches the Rfam family "tRNA", at positions 6 to 65 of the family's 71-position model. Rfam says of the family: Transfer RNA (tRNA) molecules are approximately 80 nucleotides in length. The record is from RNAcentral. Lineage: Eukaryota; Metazoa; Chordata; Mammalia; Rodentia; Sciuridae.
GGAUUGUAGUUCAGUGGUAGAGAGCUUGCCUUGCAUGCAUGAGGCCCUGGGUUUGAUCCUCAGCACCA